AUUGACUAUGUUAAAUAAAGUUCUAGAUAGAUAAAUGAUAAUGACAAAUUUCUAUCUAUAUGUCUUGACCAAGUCUUGUGCCAGCAGUCGCGGCAAUACAAGGAAGACUAGUGUUAUUCAUCUUUAUUAGGUUUAAAGGGUACCUAGACAGUAUUUCUAGCCUCAAAAAGGUACAGAAUUACUAGAGUUUUAUAGGAGAGGUAAAUAUUAGGACUAUUGGUGUAGAGAUGAAAUUCUUUGAUACUAAUGGAACGGAUAACGGCGAAGGCAACCCUCUAUAUGCAAACUGACGUUGAGGGACGAAGGCUUGGGGAGCAAAUAGGAUUAGAUACCCUAGUAGUCCAGGCAGAAAAUGAUGAGUGUUAUAUAUUAAGAAANUAAAAAUUGGUGUAUAAAUGAAAGUGUAAGCACUCCACCUCAAGAGUAAUGUGGCAACACAGGAACUGAAAUCAUUAGACCGUUUCUGAAACCAGUAGUGAAGUAUGUUAUUUAAUUCGAUAAC
RNAcentral lists this ribosomal RNA (502 nucleotides) under Dothideomycetes sp. A997. RNAcentral's name for it is "SSU rRNA". It matches the Rfam family "Bacterial small subunit ribosomal RNA", at positions 412 to 958 of the family's 1533-position model. Lineage: Eukaryota; Fungi; Ascomycota; Dothideomycetes. The record is from RNAcentral.